RNAcentral lists this unclassified non-coding RNA (365 nucleotides) under soil metagenome. RNAcentral's name for it is "partial contains 5.8S ribosomal RNA, internal transcribed spacer 2, and large subunit ribosomal RNA". The stretch from base 1 to 120 matches the Rfam family "5.8S ribosomal RNA", at positions 35 to 154 of the family's 154-position model. The record is from RNAcentral.
GAUGAAGAACGCAGCGAAAUGCGAUAAGUAAUGUGAAUUGCAGAAUUCAGUGAACCAUCGAAUCUUUGAACGCACAUUGCGCCCGCCAGUAUUCUGGCGGGCAUGCCUGUCCGAGCGUCAUCUCAACCCUCGAGCCCCCCCGGGGGCUCGGCGUUGGGGACCGGCCCCGCCCCAGGGCGCGCCGCCCCCCAAAUCCAGUGGCGGUCCCGCCGCAGCCUCCCCUGCGCAGUAGCUUGCGCACUCGCACCGGAGAGCGGCGCGGCCACGCCGUAAAACCCCCCGACCACGGAGCCCCGGCUCCUGAACGUUGACCUCGGAUCAGGUAGGAAUACCCGCUGAACUUAAGCAUAUCAAUAAGCGGAGGA